Molecule: unclassified non-coding RNA, 189 nt
Filed under: uncultured Cortinarius
Lineage: Eukaryota; Fungi; Basidiomycota; Agaricomycetes; Agaricales; Cortinariaceae
Description: sequence contains ITS2
Source: RNAcentral
AUAUAUAUAUAUCAAACUUCUCUUGUUGAGUUGUUUGGAUGUGGGGGUUUGCUGGCCUCUUAAAGGGGUUCAGCUCUCCUGAAAUGCAUUAGCGGAACAGCCUUGUUCAUUGGUGUGAUAACUAUCUACGCUGUUGAAUGUGAAAGGGCAGUUCAGCUUUCUAACAGUCCUUGUACAGAUCCAUCAUUA